Molecule: ribosomal RNA, 461 nt
Filed under: uncultured bacterium
Lineage: Bacteria
Description: partial 16S ribosomal RNA
Rfam family: Bacterial small subunit ribosomal RNA
Source: RNAcentral
CCUACGGGCGGCAGCAGUGAGGAAUAUUGGUCAAUGGGCGGACGCCUGAACCAGCCAAGUCGCGUGAGGGAAGACGGCCCUAUGGAUUGUAAACCUCUUUAGGCAGGGAGCAACGCCGGCUACGCGUACCCGGCAGGAGAGUACCCGCAGAAUAAGCAUCGGCUAACUCCGUGCCAGCAGCCGCGGUAAUACGGAGGGUGCGAGCGUUAUCCGGAUUUAUUGGGUUUAAAGGGUGCGUAUGUGGAAUGGUAAGUCAGAGGUGAAAUUUUGCGGGUCAAACUUCAAAUUGCAAUUGAAACUGGCGUUCUUGAGUACGGGUGAGGUAGGCGGAAUUCGUGGUGUAGCGGUGAAAUGCUUAGAUAUCACGCAGAACUCCGAUUGCGAAGGCAGCUUACUGGACCGCAACUGACGGUGAUGCGCGAAAGCGUGGGUAUCAAACAGGAUUAGAUACCCUUGUAGUC